AAGUCGUAACAAGGUUUCCGUAGGUGAACCUGCGGAAGGAUCAUUACCGAGUGAGGACCCGUCGGGUCCAACCUCCCACCCGUGUCUACGUACCUGGUUGCUUCGGCGGACCCGCCCCUAGGGGCCCCCGGGGACUAACCCCCCCGGCCUGCGUCCGCCGAGGACUAAAAACUCGUGUCUGAAGAGUGCCGUCUGAGCAAGAAGCGAAAUCAGUCAAAACUUUCAACAACGGAUCUCUUGGUUCCG
RNAcentral lists this unclassified non-coding RNA (246 nucleotides) under Penicillium sp. RNAcentral's name for it is "partial internal transcribed spacer region". The stretch from base 1 to 46 matches the Rfam family "Eukaryotic small subunit ribosomal RNA", at positions 1786 to 1831 of the family's 1831-position model. RNAcentral also lists the same sequence under 1 other name. Lineage: Eukaryota; Fungi; Ascomycota; Eurotiomycetes; Eurotiales; Aspergillaceae. The record is from RNAcentral.